This 157-nucleotide ribosomal RNA is filed under the name Neodasyscypha cerina. It matches the Rfam family "5.8S ribosomal RNA". Rfam says of the family: 5.8S ribosomal RNA (5.8S rRNA) is a component of the large subunit of the eukaryotic ribosome. The record is from RNAcentral. Lineage: Eukaryota; Fungi; Ascomycota; Leotiomycetes; Helotiales; Lachnaceae.
AAACUUCCAACAACGGAUCUCUUGGUUCUGGCAUCGAUGAAGAACGCAGCGAAAUGCGAUAAGUAAUGUGAAUUGCAGAAUUCAGUGAAUCAUCGAAUCUUUGAACGCACAUUGCGCCCCUUGGUAUUCCGGGAAACAUGCCUGUUCGAGCGUCAUU